GAGGCCCUACGGGAGGCAGCAGUGGGGAAUAUUGCACAAUGGGGGGAACCCUGAUGCAGCGACGCCGCGUGAAGGAAGAAGUAUCUCGGUAUUUAAACUUCUAUCAGCAGGGAAGAAAGAGGACGGUACCUGACUAAGAAGCCCCGGCUAACUACGUGCCAGCAGCCGCGGUAAUACGUAGGGGGCGAGCGAUAUCCGGAUUUACUGGGUGUAAAGGGUGCGUAGGCGGGUAA
RNAcentral lists this ribosomal RNA (233 nucleotides) under uncultured bacterium. RNAcentral describes it as "partial 16S ribosomal RNA". It matches the Rfam family "Bacterial small subunit ribosomal RNA", at positions 332 to 582 of the family's 1533-position model. The record is from RNAcentral.